AACGAACGCUGGCGGCAUGCCUAACACAUGCAAGUCGAACGAGACCUUCGGGUCUAGUGGCGCACGGGUGCGUAACGCGUGGGAACCUGCCCUUAGGUUCGGAAUAACUCCCCGAAAGGGGGGCUAAUACCGGAUAAUGUCGUCGGACCAAAGAUUUAUCGCCUUUGGAUGGGCCCGCGUUGUAUUAGCUAGUUGGUAGGGUAAAAGCCUACCAAGGCGACGAUCCAUAGCUGGUCUGAGAGGAUGAUCAGCCACACUGGGACUGAGACACGGCCCAGACUCCUACGGGAGGCAGCAGUGGGGAAUAUUGGACAAUGGGCGAAAGCCUGAUCCAGCAAUGCCGCGUGAGUGAUGAAGGCCUUAGGGUUGUAAAGCUCUUUUACCCGGGAUGAUAAUGACAGUACCGGGAGAAUAAGCUCCGGCUAACUCCGUG
RNAcentral lists this ribosomal RNA (433 nucleotides) under uncultured bacterium. RNAcentral's name for it is "partial 16S ribosomal RNA". It matches the Rfam family "Bacterial small subunit ribosomal RNA", at positions 29 to 507 of the family's 1533-position model. The record is from RNAcentral.